Small nuclear RNA from Sorex fumeus (smoky shrew), 164 nucleotides. RefSeq annotates it as U1 spliceosomal RNA. The record is from RefSeq and is a predicted model, not a curated record. NCBI's taxonomy places the organism in Eukaryota, Metazoa, Chordata, Mammalia, Eulipotyphla, Soricidae. The transcript has a single exon.
AUACUUACCUAGCAGGGCAGAUACCAGGAUCCUGGAGGUGAUUUUCCCAGGGCAAGCCCUAUCCAUUUCACUACGAAUGUACUGACCCCUGUUAUUUCCCGAAAUAUGGGAAACUCCACUGCAUAAUUUAUGGCAGUCGGGGGCUGCAUUCAUGCUAUCCGCUG